CUUCCGCCUCCCAGGACCCCAGAGGAAAGCGGCCGGGCGGAGACUCGAGUGAGGUCUCAGAACAAAGAUAUUAUACUCUAAUGAGAAGAAUUGAAGAAUGUACUGAUCUUGAGGUUGUUAAAAGUUAGAAAAAAUAGUAUGAUAUUGCCUCAUAACUGGUAAACUAGGGCUCUGAGGAAUGCUUCAGUGUGAUCACUGCAUCUCUAUUGGCACCCCUGCAAUUAUGGUUCAGAAUACAAGGGCUUCCCUGGUGGCGCAGUGGCUAAGAAUCUGCCUGCCAAUGCAGGGGACACAGGUUCGAGCCCUGGUCCAGGAAGAUCCCACAUGCUGCAGAGCAACUAAGCCCGUGCGCCACAACUACUGAGCCUGCACUCUAGAGCCCGCGAGCCACAACUACUGAGCCCACGAGCCACAACUACUGAAACCUGCAUGCCACAACUACUGAAGCCCGGGGGCCUAGAGCCCAUGCUCCACAACAAGAGAAGCCACCGCAAUGAGAAGCCCACGCACCACAACAAAGAGUAGCCCCCGCUCACUGCAACUAGAGAAAGCCUGCGCGCAGCAACGAAGACCCAACGCAGCAAAAAAUAAAUA
This is a long non-coding RNA of Balaenoptera acutorostrata (minke whale), 594 nucleotides long. RefSeq lists it as uncharacterized. NCBI's taxonomy places the organism in Eukaryota, Metazoa, Chordata, Mammalia, Artiodactyla, Balaenopteridae. The record is from RefSeq and is a predicted model, not a curated record. The transcript has 3 exons.